Molecule: long non-coding RNA, 5390 nt
Filed under: Oryza sativa (Asian cultivated rice)
Lineage: Eukaryota; Viridiplantae; Streptophyta; Magnoliopsida; Poales; Poaceae
Description: long non-coding RNA (OSAT_LNC001535)
Source: RNAcentral
CAAGCUUAACCAUCAUGAGGAAAAAAGUUAGAUACCACGAAGAAGCCAAAUAUCAAUACUAUUGAGAGAAAUAUGAACUUACUUACAAAUUUAACGCAGAUAGAUAGGGGAUUCGAUGGCGGCCCUGACAACUGGGUUAGCCCAACUCUAUAACUAAGUUAAGAAUUGAGCUUUUAACUGGGUGUACUAAGUGGUUGGAGAUGUAUUUUUCAUCUUUCAUCAUCCUUGAAGAUAAUCUUGAGCUGAACAACUAUAAAGAUAAAAAAAAUGACUAUUAACAUUUAAAACAACAGAUGUUACUUGCUAGGGUGAUAAAAACUACUAACCUCUGAACUACUAUAUUUAUAAAUAAAUUAAUGGCAAGACAGAAGGAGCCGCCACUCAUCUGUACUUAUACCUACUUCAGAACGGCAUUUUUCUUUUUGAUUUUGCCGCCCCUUUACGGGAAGUAAUACUAUUGCAAAUCCGACAUACUAUAUAGAAGAGAUUGAUUGAGGUCAGGGAUAUAAGACAUUUCUAUCAUCAAAUAUAUAUACAAGAGAGAUUAACUACUCGUGUGCUUGUCCUUGGCCUGCUUUGGUAAUGGUACAUAAUACAUUCCUGUUCCAAAUAGAUAGGCACCAUGUCAAUGCCGUUCAGCUAGCUGCUUCUGCAGGCAAAGCCAAAGACACAAGAUAGCCCUGUGUAGUUGGAUACAGCCAACAUGUUUCAGUGCGGAUCAGCUGCAGAAGAAGUUGGAUUUGGCCGGAGCCCUUGGAGCACCGAUCUAGCUAACGAACGAACAACACCGGUUUGCUCACCUCCAUAGCCGCUCGCAGACAAGCAAAGCAUCCGCCCAAUGUGUUCGUGUGAUCCAACGUACUACGCCCCUGUCCCUCCUUUUCCUAGUACCACACACACGUUUUCAGGUUUCAGUACGAGCUAGCUAGCCAACACCCGUUUGCAGCAGUGGCGUUUUGCCAGAAACCAAAAUGGAAGGUGAUUUUGUUAUUUGUGUAAUAACGGUGGAGUUUAAUUUCCUUAGAUAUAUAUUCAGAGACUGGCUAAUGACUGGGUAAUUAUAACUGCAAAACACUUGGGCUGAUUAUUAUCUCCCACUUGGCCCUAGUCGAUUUCAGUGUUUGUUAGCUUGCAGGCUACCAUGACUGAAUGAUUGAUUAUUCCGUAAUCUGUAGCUAAUCAGAUCGGAUACGCUAAUACGGCGCAGUAGGUAUAGGGAGGACAAAGUCCACAGGCCCAGUAGCACUCUUUCUGUCACUCACUCACUCACUCACUCACUCACUAGAGUUAUAGAGCAGACGACUCUCUCACUGUCAGUCCUCAUGAAACUGAAAGCUAUGAAAAUCCCAUCAAAAGAACUUGACCGUGAAAAAUACCCCAAUUAAAUUACAUAACCAUCUAAUUUUAUGAUGAUAGUUUGGUUCGUUAAAAACCUAAACCAAUUAGGCCCCGUUCUUUCACGAUUAAGAUAUAAGUAGAUUUUAGCACGGUUUUUAAACUGUUGAACGAUAUGUUUUAUCUGAAAACUUUCUAUAUUUAUAUAUUUCCUUCGUUUCAUACUAUAAAUUGUUUGAUUUUUUUCCCAGUCAAACUCUAUUAAAUUUGACUAAGUUUUUUGCAACAUAUAAAAUAUUAAAUUGGUUUUACUAAAUCUAAUAUUGAAUAUAAUUUGAUAAUAUGUAUGUUUUGUGUUGAAAAUAAUACUAUAUAUUUUUUAUAUAUUUGGUCAAACUUAAAAAUAUUUGAUUGAAAAAUAGGUAAACAAUUUAUAAUAUGAAACGGACGGAGCAUCAGCAUAUUUUAAGUUUGCAAUAAUCAAGGCUCAAUUAUGCACUAAUGUUUUUUUUCUUGUUUUGUGUAAGUAAUCUGAGCCGUUCGAUCACGCCUCUUCUCUCCCGGAUCACACGACACCCACCGUUUGCCUACUUUUUAUCUCCGUCCUCUUGGAUUGGAUGCGUCCGACACUCGAGCCACACCGAAUCCCAACCACCAUUGCCGCGCCGAGCUCUUCUUCUUCACCAUCAGCGAAGCAGAGCAGAGCAGAAGCAGAGCGCGGAGAUAUGCUCGGAGGUCGACGGCGAGGUCAGCAGCAAGAAGCGAGGUAGCGGGCGGCGGCCGCAGAGAGACAUGUGGACGCCGUCGCGGGGGUCGGCGAGCGGGCGGCGGGCGACGGGUCACCGCCGCAUCGCGGACUACCUCGCCGACGACCGGACGGAGGCGUCGACGGAGAACGGGUCGUUCAACACGGCCUACAGCGACGAGCUGUUCGCGCCGACGUCGUCGUCCGCCGGCGGCGAUGGCGUCGGUGGAAUGCUGCCGGCGUUCCUCGCCGACCAGAGCGACCUCGUGGAGGUCAUGCUGGAGCUCGACGAGGAGUCCAUGGUGGUGCGGAGCGUGACGCCCACCACGGGCGCGCUGUACGGGCCCACGUCGUUGGCCGGGGGCGGCGCCGCGCACACGCCGCCGGGGAGCGGGCGGAGCCUGAGCCGGUGCUCGUCGACGUCGUCGCGGAUACGCAAGAAGUUCGCGUGGCUACGGUCGCCGUCGCCCGCGCCGGCGCCUCGCGCCCCCACGCCGUCGGAGCCGCCGCCGCCGCGGGAGGCGGCGAUGGCCGCACGCGAGCGGCGGCGCAUCCAGGCGCGGCUGAACCGGUCCCGCUCCGGCGCCAGGCGCGCCCUCAAGGGCCUCCGCUUCAUCAGCCGCACCACCGGCUCCGCCGAGGCCGCCGAGCUCUGGACCCGCGUCGAGCACCGCUUCAACGCCCUCUCCCGCGACGGCCUCCUCUCCCGCGACAACUUCGGCGACUGCAUCGGUAAGCAAGCAAAGCCAUCCUCCAUGUCCAUGGCGCGCCGCGCGCGGGCGCGAUCACGCGAUGACACGGCGUACGGCGCCGGCAUUGGUGCAGGGAUGGAGGACUCGAAGGAGUUCGCCGUGGGCAUCUUCGACGCGCUGGCGCGGCGGCGGCGGCAGGAGCUCGAGCGGAUCAGCAAGGAGGAGCUCUACGACUUCUGGGUCCAAAUCUCCGACCAGAGCUUCGACGCGCGCCUCCAAAUCUUCUUCGACAUGUACCUAAGCCAGCCAUAAAUCCAACCAAAUUUCCUUCGAAUUUUGAGUUCGUGCGUGUUUCGAUGAAUUUGUAAAAAAAUAAACGAGUUUCUUUCAGGGUGGAUACCAACGUGGACGGGAGGAUCACUAGGGAGGAAGUGCAGGAGGCAAGUAGACUUAAUUACACUUACUUAUUACUCCAUGAUUAACUUGUAAAAUCACUGGACAGUAACAUUUUAGAAGCUUCCGUUGUUGCAUGGCUAACGACAUUACUACUACCGUAACUGUCACUCUCACUCUCACAGCAUUUCCAGUGUCAAACUAGGCUACACGAAUGAUUAACUUCACUGUUAGUUAAGGUAAUUAAAUAAUUUUUACUGCAUGUGGUUAUUUUUUUUUUUACAGCUGAUCGUGCUGAGCGCGUCGGCGAACAAGCUGUCGAAGCUGAAGGAGCAGGCGGAGGAGUACGCGUCGCUGAUCAUGGAGGAGCUCGACCCGGAGGACCUCGGCUACAUCGAGGUGAGGAUUUCGCUUUCGCCAUUUCUGUGCUCUGUGUCCGUUGCUGCUUGAGCUUGACUCGUCUUCUCCGGCGACGGCGUGGUGCAGCUGUGGCAGCUGGAGGCGCUGCUGCUCCAGCGAGACGCGUACAUGAACUACAGCCGGCCGCUCAGCAGCGGCAGCACGGCGCAGUGGAGCCAGAACCUCGGCGGCGGCGGCGGAGGGCAGCAAGGAGGGCAAGGGCAGGGGCAGGGGCAGUCGGAGGGGAGGAGGAACGACUGGAGGCGGCGGUGGAGCCCGCGGCGAGCGGCGGCGAGGGCGCAGGUGGCGGCGGAGGAGAACUGGCGGCGCGCGUGGGUGCUGGCGCUGUGGUUCGCCGCCAUGGCGGGACUGUUCGCGUGGAAGUUCGUGCAGUACCGCCGCACGCCGGCGUUCCGGGUGAUGGGGUACUGCCUCCCGACGGCGAAGGGCGCCGCCGAGACGCUCAAGCUCAACAUGGCGCUCGUCCUCCUCCCCGUCUGCCGCAACACGCUGACGUGGCUCCGCUCCUCCUGGGCCCGCUUCUUCGUCCCCUUCGACGACAGCAUCACCUUCCACAAGGUAGGUACUCCUCCUCCUCUCGAGCUCACCGCCGGUGGUUGGGAGGUCGCCGUCGCCGGAGUUCGGGGAGACGACUCGUCGCCCAAUGAUUGGCGGCCGGUGCGUCUCUGCCUUGUGGGCCCGGGUGGGCCGGCUCGGGAUCUUCUGCGGCUCGGCCCAUGUGGGGCGGUGCGACUUUUGGGCCGUGUAGGUGGAGAGUAGCUCGGGCUUUAAGUGGGCCCCACCGGGGCGGUCCAAUCAGUGUAGCGUGGCCGGGGAACCCGCGGGUACAGAAGAUCCCCGGCCCGGUCGGCUCAGGGUCAAAGCGCCGGUCAUUCAAAAGUCUCCCCGACCGACAGGGCUCCCACUGUCAUGUGGGGCCACUGUAAGCUACUCCAACCGGCAGGGCCACGUGUUCAUUAAGCUAAGCUCCAGGCAUAAAACGUUUGUAAAUGUACUUAUAGGAUCAAGGUGGUCAAGAUCGCAAUAAUCGUUUCUUCUGACAUUAGCAAUUAUAAAUUUACCACCCUCUUAACUCGUUAUCAUAAAACUAGAAUAUGAAUAGUGUAAAGCAUUUUAUUGUAACAUAUAAAAACCAUUGAUAAAUUUACAAAUACCCCUGCUUAUACCUAUGUAGGAUCAGUCGUCAUACGUCAAAUUUAAAUUUUAAAAGUUAAUUUUUAUUUUUUUAAUAUUUUGUUUUUAACAUUUUCUUUGGAAUUUAAAACACGUAUAUAAAAAUUUUACUUACGCUCCGUUCGUUUUUUCUCUUAAAUGGCAAGAAAACCGGAGCAAAGAAAUUAACAAAUAAUUAAUUAAUUAUUACUCCAUUACAAACUUAAAAAAUAGAUUCAUUUGAAUUUUUAAAUAAAAUUUUAUAUAAAAACAUUUUAUAAAAAAUACACCGUUUAAUAGUUUGGGAAACGUAUAAAAAACAACAAAGUUGAAGUUUAGACUUUUUUUAGGUAACUUUUUUUUAGGGAACGAAGUUUAGAGUUGGAGUUUAGAACGGGCCUUUAUAAAUUAAUUUUGAUUGUUUCAUCUACUUUUUCACAACUAAUUAGUUGUAGAGCAAAGAGAGCGAGGCUAAAAUUAGCACAUUGUUGAGGUUGCUAGUAAUUGCAAAAGCUAAAAAACUUUGGCUACACCUGCAGAUCAUCGCGACGGCAAUCGCGCUGGGCAUCUGCACGCACGCGGGGACGCACCUGGCGUGCGACUUCCCGCGGCUGAUCGGGUCGAGCCGGGAGGAGUACGAGCUGCUGCUGUCC